CGGGGCUUGAGCAACGUCCCUGUCCCUGUCCACAGUGCGUCCGCUGUCCGCUGCCGCUGUUUUCAUUUUUCACACAAACCCUAAAUAUGGAAGGCCCGUCCUGCUGCAGUGACUGUACCUGUUUGCACUCCUGCCGGCCGCGUGUGAACCUCCUCACCGUCCGCACCACUCCCGACGCUUGGUACCGUCCGUCUUCAUUUCAGCCAUGCUGGUGGGUUGGGUUCCCGUGAUUUGAAUCACCCGACCCUGCCCCUCCUGGCCAUUUGGUUAGCGCCGUGGUUGCAUCUUUUGGUCGACACAAGCAUGGAAACUCAGAGUGUGAACAUGACCUCCUACGUCAAGGGGAC
Long non-coding RNA from Mustela lutreola (European mink), 347 nucleotides. RefSeq lists it as uncharacterized. The record is from RefSeq and is a predicted model, not a curated record. Lineage: Eukaryota; Metazoa; Chordata; Mammalia; Carnivora; Mustelidae. The transcript is spliced from 3 exons.